This 200-nucleotide long non-coding RNA is filed under the name Elaeis guineensis (African oil palm). Its description in RNAcentral is "long non-coding RNA (EGUI_LNC028317)". Lineage: Eukaryota; Viridiplantae; Streptophyta; Magnoliopsida; Arecales; Arecaceae. The record is from RNAcentral.
CUAAUUCUAAGUUUUUAAUACCAAAAAUUUAUUGAACCAAAUUUGUUGAGCUCAAUUCUCAUAUCUUCUUUUCUCUUAAAACCUCAAAACUGUACUUCACAUGAUCAAUCUCUUGGUAGACACUUUUUUCUCAAAGUUUUAGAUUUUUUAAAAUUUUUUCAUCAUCCUUAUGAAUUUUUCUGUGCCAUGAGUCGACCCUA